This 274-nucleotide ribosomal RNA is filed under the name uncultured bacterium. RNAcentral's name for it is "partial 16S ribosomal RNA". It matches the Rfam family "Bacterial small subunit ribosomal RNA", at positions 523 to 796 of the family's 1533-position model. The record is from RNAcentral.
AUACGGAGGGUGCAAGCGUUAAUCGGAAUUACUGGGCGUAAAGCGCGCGUAGGCGGUUUGAUAAGUCGGAUGUGAAAUCUCCGGGCUCAACCUGGGAAUUGCAUUCGAUACUGUCAGGCUAGAGUGUGGUAGAGGGAAGUGGAAUUUCCGGUGUAGCGGUGAAAUGCGUAGAUAUCGGAAGGAACACCAGUGGCGAAGGCGGCUUCCUGGACCAACACUGACGCUGAGGUGCGAAAGCGUGGGGAGCAAACAGGAUUAGAAACCCUAGUAGUCC